RNAcentral lists this ribosomal RNA (575 nucleotides) under Cadophora gregata. RNAcentral describes it as "eukaryotic LSU rRNA". It matches the Rfam family "Eukaryotic large subunit ribosomal RNA", at positions 60 to 649 of the family's 3401-position model. The record is from RNAcentral. Lineage: Eukaryota; Fungi; Ascomycota; Leotiomycetes; Helotiales; Ploettnerulaceae.
AGAAACCAACAGGGAUUACCUCAGUAACGGCGAGUGAAGCGGUAACAGCUCAAAUUUGAAAGCUAGCUCUAUUAGGGUUCGCAUUGUAAUUUGUAGAAGAUGCUUCGGGUGUGGCCCCGGUCUAAGUUCCUUGGAACAGGACGUCAUAGAGGGUGAGAAUCCCGUAUGUGACUGGGUGCUUUCGCUCAUGUGAAGCUCUUUCGACGAGUCGAGUUGUUUGGGAAUGCAGCUCAAAAUGGGUGGUAAAUUUCAUCUAAAGCUAAAUAUUGGCCAGAGACCGAUAGCGCACAAGUAGAGUGAUCGAAAGAUGAAAAGCACUUUGGAAAGAGAGUUAAACAGUACGUGAAAUUGUUGAAAGGGAAGCGCUUGCAACCAGACUUGCGCGCUGAUGAUCAUCCGGGCUUCUGCCCGGUGCACUCGUCUGCGCUCAGGCCAGCAUCGGUUUCGGUGGUGGGAUAAAGGCCUUGGGAAUGUGGCUCCUCUCGGGGAGUGUUAUAGCCCUCGGUGCAAUGCCGCCUACCGGGACCGAGGACCGCGCUUCGGCUAGGAUGCUGGCGUAAUGGUUGUAAGCGACC